RNAcentral lists this ribosomal RNA (479 nucleotides) under uncultured organism. RNAcentral describes it as "partial 16S ribosomal RNA". It matches the Rfam family "Bacterial small subunit ribosomal RNA", at positions 331 to 801 of the family's 1533-position model. The record is from RNAcentral.
GUACACUCCUGCGGGAGGCAGCAGUGGGGAAUUUUGGACAAUGGGCGAAAGCCUGAUCCAGCCAUGCCGCGUGCAGGAUGAAGGCCUUCGGGUUGUAAACUGCUUUUGUACGGAACGAAACGGCCUUUUCUAAUAAAGAGGGCUAAUGACGGUACCGUAAGAAUAAGCACCGGCUAACUACGUGCCAGCAGCCGCGGUAAUACGUAGGGUGCAAGCGUUAAUCGGAAUUACUGGGCGUAAAGCGUGCGCAGGCGGUUAUGUAAGACAGUUGUGAAAUCCCCGGGCUCAACCUGGGAACUGCAUCUGUGACUGCAUAGCUAGAGUACGGUAGAGGGGGAUGGAAUUCCGCGUGUAGCAGUGAAAUGCGUAGAUAUGCGGAGGAACACCGAUGGCGAAGGCAAUCCCCUGGACCUGUACUGACGCUCAUGCACGAAAGCGUGGGGAGCAAACAGGAUUAGAUACCCUUGUAGUCCCAUGAU